Gossypium arboreum is the source of this 1071-nucleotide long non-coding RNA. RefSeq lists it as uncharacterized. The record is from RefSeq and is a predicted model, not a curated record. The transcript has 3 exons. Lineage: Eukaryota; Viridiplantae; Streptophyta; Magnoliopsida; Malvales; Malvaceae.
UGCCCAAUCAGAUGCCAUUUCACACCCGUCCCAAUGCUUCAUUCAUUGUUUCUGCAGACGGUUGUAAUUAUCAAAGAGUCUCUCUAAACAAAACUUUUCAUUUAUUCUGUGACUAUCCUUUCUGUUACCUUCAUCCACUAAAGUCUCAAUCUGGUUUUCUCAGACGCUCCAACGUCAACAGUUGCUUCGCAUGCUUUGGAACAUUUCCUAUCAGGUACAAUGAUUCUUUUCUUUUGAACGAUUCUUUGGCUAAAACAUGUGCUAAACUAUUUGCUGAUCUCAGAGUAUAAGUAAAAGUAAUAUACUGGAAUCUAGCUUUAAGCUUCUGAAUAUCAUGAAUGUAUGCUCGUAUUUGGGAUUUGUCUGUUUCAUUUUACUGGCAUUUUUUUAUUAUCACUAAUGCAUCUCCUUCCACUACAACCUCCGACCAUUCCUUGUCUAUCCCAAUUUGCAUUGCCCGGAGACAUGCGAGCGCUUUCCGGCAAAACUUGACGGAACCCAGUUGUGAAUAAUUGAACAAGAAAUUAGCACCUGUCCUGCCAUAUUCCUCGCUAUAAUCCCUGAUGUCGAUCUUGAACUGUAAAUAUCAAAAGCAAUGUCGAAGUUGAUUUUGAUAACUGACCUAGAUGGAUUCCUCUACUUUGCCUCUGUUUGAAAAUAGCCCACAGCACAACUCCCACCGAACGCCUCUGCUUGAUCGAACAGACUUCAAAAAUCCAGAACAACCUCGAAAUAUAUGAUCCAUGGACUCCGCUACUUGAUUACAUCGUGCACAAGAUACAUUAGCCAUCAGCUUCAUCUGAUGCAAAAUAACUAGAUUAGGGAUGUAAUGCCAUGAAAUUAUCCAUAUUAUAGCCAAUAGCUUAGAAGGUAAGUUGAUGUUUCACAAUUGUUUGUAAAAGUUCCUAUUGUUUGUCUGUAAAGCAUAAGCACUUCGACUAUCUGGAAAGUUUUGUAAUAGUUUUUAGGCACUACGUACUGAGAACUCUCCUGAGGGUUCCCCCCGCCAUACCAGCAUGUCAUCGACCUCAGUCAUCACUAAGGGAAUUCAGAUAAUUCUUUCUGCAUCCA